Molecule: ribosomal RNA, 653 nt
Filed under: uncultured bacterium
Lineage: Bacteria
Description: bacterial SSU rRNA
Rfam family: Bacterial small subunit ribosomal RNA
Source: RNAcentral
AAAAGGUGGCUAUGCUACCGCUUUUGGAUGGGCCCGCGGCGCAUUAGCUAGUUGGUGGGGUAAAGGCUUACCAAGGCAAUGAUGCGUAGCCGAACUGAGAGGUUGAUCGGCCACAUUGGGACUGAGACACGGCCCAAACUCCUACGGGAGGCAGCAGUAGGGAAUCUUCCACAAUGGGCGAAAGCCUGAUGGAGCAACGCCGCGUGGGUGAAGAAGGUCUUCGGAUCGUAAAACCCUGUUGUUAGAGAAGAAAGUGCGUGAGAGUAACUGUUCACGUUUCGACGGUAUCUAACCAGAAAGCCACGGCUAACUACGUGCCAGCAGCCGCGGUAAUACGUAGGUGGCAAGCGUUAUCCGGAUUUAUUGGGCGUAAAGGGAACGCAGGCGGUCUUUUAAGUCUGAUGUGAAAGCCUUCGGCUUAACCGGAGUAGUGCAUUGGAAACUGGGAGACUUGAGUGCAGAAGAGGAGAGUGGAACUCCAUGUGUAGCGGUGAAAUGCGUAGAUAUAUGGAAGAACACCAGUGGCGAAAGCGGCUCUCUGGUCUGUAACUGACGCUGAGGUUCGAGAGCGUGGGUAGCAAACAGGAUUAGAUACCCUGGUAGUCCACGCCGUAAACGAUGAAUGCUAAGUGUUGGAGGGUUUCCGCCCUUCA